Long non-coding RNA from Gastrolobium bilobum, 593 nucleotides. RefSeq lists it as uncharacterized. The transcript is spliced from 3 exons. Lineage: Eukaryota; Viridiplantae; Streptophyta; Magnoliopsida; Fabales; Fabaceae. The record is from RefSeq and is a predicted model, not a curated record.
UGAUCCCCGCUCAUUUUCCCUUGGCUGAGGCUUCCCUCUCAAAAGGUGACCACCCUCUUGGAUAACUCUUGUACUCUUUCUCGACUUUCAGCUCCCACUAAACAUCUAAGCAUUAACUCCUCUUGCAUGUCUGAAACAUUCCCAUCCAAUGUCUCUCCUUAAUUUUCCUUUCCCUCGUAUUAUAGUGUGAAGCAUCUCGAAGAAGAAGCAAAGAGUUGAGUCAUCUCUAUUUUUAAAGAAGCUAAGGUGGUGGAAUUGCUGACCACAAGGAAGUACCGAAGAAGAAUUAAUUGCUAACUAAAAGUUCAGCAUCCAAGGUUUCAAGUAAAUUAAGACAUGAUGUCAAUGGACCGACAUAUUGGGUGUUGUGUGCUAAAUGAAAUAAAUAUGCAUAUAUAUUGUUGAAUUAUGAAAGAACUCUAGCUAUCAGGAUGAUGAUUUUGGAGACUAUUGUAAUGCAACAGUAGACGAAUAUGUGAUAUAGUGCUACAUUAAUAGUUGUAACCUUCAUGUUGUUAUCCAUGUAUGUAAGGAUUAUGUUCAUGGUAUGAUCAGGUCUUGAAUUUAUGUAAAGACUAAUGCACUAGAGUUAU